GAGUGAAAGAGAUCUUUGGUUUUGCCUUUGCUGACUGCUGAUCUGAUCGUCUCAAGUCUGGUGACCUGCUGCAGAAAACCCUCUCCCUCUAUCAUUAUCAAGCAAUUCUGUCUAUCCUAUCACUCUCCCAACUCUAUCUAAUUUGACAGCCAUUCUAUCUUGUAUCAAUCUAUCCCAACUGCUCUAUCUAAUUUGACAGCCAUUCUAUCUUGUAUCAAUCUAUCCCAACUGCUCUAUCUAAUUUGACAGCCAUUCUAUCUUGUAUCAAUCUAUCCCAAGCACUCUAUCUCGUUUUCAGAAAUCCCAGUUUUCAGAAAUCCCAGUUUUCAGAAAUCCCAGUUUUCAGAAAUCCCAGUCUUCAGAAAUCCCAGUCUUCAGAAAUCCCAGUCUUCAGAAAUCCCAGUCUUCAGAAAUCUAAGUCUUCAGAAAUCCAAGUUUUGAAAAAUCCAAGUUUUGAAAAAUCCAAGUUUUGAAAAAUCCAAGUUUUGAAAAAUCCAAGUUUUGAAAAAUCCAAGUUUUGAGAAAUCCAAGUUUUUGGCAAUUGAAGUUACCAGAACUUUGUCAAUCUGUAUUCAGAAUUCUGAGAGAUCUCUGCUCUCACUGCUCCUCCUUUCCUGUCAUUAAACUCUCUCUCCAUUCAUUUUGCUGGAAAAUAACAAUUAGAAAGUUGAAUAUACAGUAGUAGAAUUGCAGUACAGUAGAACUUAUAGUAGAAACUACUUAUACAGCCCUACAUUUGUAGUUUUAACUUGGCAUUACACUUUGAAAUAAACACUGAUAGUUUGGCUUACAAGUGCAAUUUGAUAAAUUAUAUAAACUUAUAUACACCUUUUUUGAGAUAUAUUUGUAGUAAGAUAAUCUGGUUAUUUUGUAAUUCAGACUGUUAUAUUCACAUAAAUAUUAAAUUUGAUUCAAAUACAUUUUUCAAGUCUGUUUCAUUGGUUAUAACAUUUGACUACAAGUUUAUACUAUUAUUAUUUAAGGACAAACCCUUUUUUGUCACUCAGUGUAAGUGUUCAGUUACAGUUGUCAUCUAGAGGCUGCCCUGAGGACCCAGACUUCCUGUUUCCUGACUGCUGCAGAACAUCCAGCUGAAGAAUCCCCAUCGCCUGUCAUCUGAUCACCUCACCAUCACAGCUCAUAUUUGCUUUAAAUUUUAAAUAUCUGAAAGAUUUACACAGUCUACUUAAAAGUUAAGAGUUUUAUUAUAGCCUGUUGAUUGAUUGUUGAGAUUUAUUCUGCAUAUUACAUUACAGAAGUAUAGACCUAUUUGUUAUCCAGUCUGGUUAAA
Molecule: long non-coding RNA, 1291 nt
Organism: Oreochromis aureus
Lineage: Eukaryota; Metazoa; Chordata; Actinopteri; Cichliformes; Cichlidae
Exons: 3
Source: RefSeq, a predicted model, not a curated record